This is a long non-coding RNA of Oreochromis aureus, 924 nucleotides long. Lineage: Eukaryota; Metazoa; Chordata; Actinopteri; Cichliformes; Cichlidae. The record is from Ensembl.
UUUAAAAAACUGGUUGCUUUUCCUCGACAUUUUGCUGCGACGUUUCAAAGAGCCGGAAAGUAAAUAAACGGCAGACAGAAAUGAGGCAGGUCGAAUCGUCUUGCGUUUCACGCAUGCGCAGUGCUGGAACGUAAGCGUUUUCGGCCGUUUCAAUGUGGACGCACAACUCUGUGAAAACGACUGAAAACGAUAGUGUGGACACGGAGCGUUUUCAGACAAAAACGCCGUUUUCAAAUUUAUCCGGGCUAGUGUGGACGUAAGAUCACAGGCUGUUCUAUUGACAUCACCAGUCCUCACACUUCAAAGCACAAAGCGUGUAAUGUCAUAGUAACGCAUUCUGCGAUAGGAGGUCAUAUAUAGGAGUGAACCUGACAUUCAUACAGCGUGAACUGGCUGCCUGCCCUCACGUCUGCAGUGCUGCCGUCUCCUGUAACCCUGCAUAUUACCAAGUUGCCUUUCCCCACCUGUAUCCAGUCAUCACACUUCAAAGCACAAAGCGUGUGAUGUCACAGUAACGCAUUCUGUGAUAGGAGGUCAUAUAUAGGAGUGAACCUGACACUCACACAGCCUGAACUGGCUGCCUGUCCUCACGUCUGCAGUGCUGCCAUCUCCUGUAACCCUGCAUGUUUCUAAGCUGCCUAUCCUCACCUGUGCAGUGCUGCUGUCUCCGGUUACCCUGAAAGUUUCUAAGUUGCAUAUCCCCACCUGUAUAGGAGUGAAAUUGACGCUCACACACCCUGAACUGGCUACCUGUCCUCACCUGUGCAGUGCUACCGUCUCCUGUCACCCUGCAUGUAUCCAACUUUAGUUUUCUCCGUUUUUAUGAUGUUCUCGUAAUUUUUAUCCUCAGAUGAGGUUUGAAGUGUCUGUGUGGUGCAGCUGGCCUGGUCUGUCUCUAUACAGUCGAGGCUGCACCCACCUAUA